AAUGAACGUUGGCGGCGUGGAUUAGGCAUGCAAGUCGCGGGAAUCCAGCAAUGGGGAACCGGCGUAAGGGGCAGUAAUGCGUGGGUAUUUACCCUCGGGUCUGGCAUAGCCCUUCGAGAGAAGGGGUAAUUCCAGAUGACGUCGUGAGACCAAAGGUCCGCCGCCCGGGGAGAAGCCCACGUGAUAUUAGCUAGUUGGUGAGGUAAUGGCUCACCAAGGCGAAGAUGUCUAGCAGGUGUGAGAGCACGACCUGCGCCACUGGCACUGAGAACUGGCCAGACACCUACGGGUGGCUGCAGUCGAGGAUCUUCGGCAAUGAGCGCAAGCUUGACCGAGCGACGCCGCGUGGGCGAUGAAGGCCUUCGGGUUGUAAAGCCCUGUCGAGGGGGAGAAAACCGCAAGGUUGAUCUAUCCCUGGAGGAAGCACGGGCUAAGUUCGUGCCAGCAGCCGCAGUAAAAC
RNAcentral lists this ribosomal RNA (460 nucleotides) under uncultured bacterium. RNAcentral's name for it is "bacterial SSU rRNA". It matches the Rfam family "Bacterial small subunit ribosomal RNA", at positions 29 to 526 of the family's 1533-position model. The record is from RNAcentral.